This 85-nucleotide microRNA precursor is filed under the name Petromyzon marinus (sea lamprey). RNAcentral's name for it is "miRNA (ENSPMAG00000010973.1)". The record is from RNAcentral. Lineage: Eukaryota; Metazoa; Chordata; Hyperoartia; Petromyzontiformes; Petromyzontidae.
ACAUUGCAUUGUGGGUCGCCAUGUUGCAGUGUGGUGUCUUUAUUGAAGAGAGGGACCCAUUGUUGACUUGGUGACUCAUUGCAAU